UGGGGAAUAUUGCACAAUGGGGGAAACCCUGAUGCAGCGACGCCGCGUGAGUGAAGAAGUAUUUCGGUAUGUAAAGCUCUAUCAGCAGGGAAGAAAAUGACGGUACCUGACUAAGAAGCCCCGGCUAACUACGUGCCAGCAGCCGCGGUAAUACGUAGGGGGCAAGCGUUAUCCGGAUUUACUGGGUGUAAAGGGAGCGUAGACGGCAAAGCAAGUCUGAAGUGAAAGCCCGGGGCUUAACCUCGGGACUGCUUUGGAAACUGUUUAGCUAGAGUGCCGGAGAGGUAAGCGGAAUUCCUAGUGUAGCGGUGAAAUGCGUAGAUAUUAGGAGGAACACCAGUGGCGAAGGCGGCUUACUGGACGGUAACUGACGUUGAGGCUCGAAAGCGUGGGGAGCAAACAGG
This 404-nucleotide ribosomal RNA is filed under the name uncultured Lachnospiraceae bacterium. RNAcentral's name for it is "bacterial SSU rRNA". It matches the Rfam family "Bacterial small subunit ribosomal RNA", at positions 355 to 776 of the family's 1533-position model. The record is from RNAcentral. Lineage: Bacteria; Bacillati; Bacillota; Clostridia; Lachnospirales; Lachnospiraceae.